GACGAACCGUGCGAACGUUGUUCGGAUUCACUGGGCUUAAAGGGCGCGUAGGCGGGCCGGUAAGUCGGGGGUGAAAUCUUUCAGCUCAACUGGAAAAGAGCCUUCGAUACUGCCGGCCUCGAGGGAGGUAGGGGCGUGCGGAACUUCCGGUGGAGCGGUGAAAUGCGUAGAGAUCGGAAGGAACGCCGGUGGCGAAAGCGGCGCGCUGGACCUCUUCUGACGCUGAGGCGCGAAAGCCAGGGGAGCAAACGGGAUUAGAUACCCCGGUAGUCCUGGCCCUAAACGAUGGGUACUAGGUAGUGGUCUGAACAUGGGAUCACUGCCGAAGCAAAAGUGUUAAGUACCCCGCCUGGGGAGUAUGGUCGCAAGGCUGAA
This 375-nucleotide ribosomal RNA is filed under the name uncultured bacterium. RNAcentral's name for it is "bacterial SSU rRNA". It matches the Rfam family "Bacterial small subunit ribosomal RNA", at positions 524 to 898 of the family's 1533-position model. The record is from RNAcentral.